UACGGGGGGGGCAAGCGUUGUUCGGAAUUACUGGGCGUAAAGGGCUCGUAGGCGGCCAACUAAGUCGGACGUGAAAUCCCCAGGCUCAACCUGGGAACUGCGUCUGAUACUGGGUGGCUUGAAUCCGGGAGAGGGAUGCGGAAUUCCAGGUGUAGCGGUGAAAUGCGUAGAUAUCUGGAGGAACACCGGUGGCGAAGGCGGCAUCCUGGACCGGUAUUGACGCUGAGGAGCGAAAGCCAGGGGAGCAAACGGG
This 253-nucleotide ribosomal RNA is filed under the name uncultured bacterium. Its description in RNAcentral is "partial 16S ribosomal RNA". It matches the Rfam family "Bacterial small subunit ribosomal RNA", at positions 524 to 776 of the family's 1533-position model. The record is from RNAcentral.